ACUUUCUGAACACCAUCUCUUUGCGAAAACAAUCAAUUGAAGCAUUUGCAACAAAAAAUCCAUGCCCAAUAUAACAUAAAAAUCAUGAAUAUCAAGUGGAUCAAAUUAGCUUUCAACUCCUGAUUAUUUACUCUAAUCGCACAAUCUUUUUACACACCGUUAGCUAAAAGUGAAUCUCCUAUACGGUUCGCUACUACCGAAUCACCGUUUAAUGGCUUCAAUAUAUGAUCCACAAAAAUAGCAAAUGCAUAUGAUAUAAAUGAAUAUGUAGCACUUGAAUCAAUUAAAGAACGAGCCUUUUUGCCAAAAUAGAUGAUGUAACCAUGACUACAUUUGGUGACUCAUUGGCAUCAUGUUGAGUCAGGGUAAAAACUCUUCCUUGAGUCCUGAUACGUCCUGCCUGGCCCUUUUGUCUAGUGCCAUGUUGCUAGCGACAUCAGAUUGAACAACAAUCAUAGCACCUGCUUUACCUGUCAAUAUGUCCCAAUUCAAAUUUUGCCUAGAAAUUCCACCACCUGCCUGUGAAGACGUCUUUUGUGAUAAACCACCUUGCUAAAGAUGAACUUGACACUCUCCAGAGGCUCAAUCUCGAGCCCACUCUUCCACGAGUCUGGACAUGAAGCUACUAGAAGUGGAAACACCUAAUCUACCUCCUCUACGAUCCCUCAUCGGUAGUCUAUCGAUAGAGACUCCUGCCCAUGUCUGAUUGCUACCACUAGCUCCAGGCCUCAUUUGUUCUUGACUAUUUUAACAUUCUGAAAGACUUUUUUCAACUCUCAGUGUUGUUUCUAUAAUUUUCCAAAAUUUUCAUAUCCUGUUGUAGUCACUACUGAUCUGAUUUCUUUUCUCAAACCCUGUUCAAACCUUUUGCAGUUAUCAACUCCGUAAGCUACUACAUAUUUAGACAACUCCACAAACUUUUUAUGAUACUUAGCCACCGUGGACGUCUGUACUAGCCUCAACACUUCGUUUUGUUUUUUCAUUCUUACAAGAACGAGGUCAAUAGCGUUCACUGAAAUCAUUCUUAACAUCACCUGACUCAAUUAUAGAAUGACCAGUAUACACUUCCUUUUAAGAAAGUAGGAAGGCGUAGUUUUCGAUCCUCGGGAAAAUCCAUAACAUCAAACACACUUUCAAUCUUUACCAUGCAUGAUUUUGUUAUUGCUGGAUCAGUCGUGCCGUGCCUUAAACACUUUAGCUCGCAAUUUAAUUGUUCAUUCUAUGCUAUACCCUUUAUCUGGGCUGCGUAAAACAGAAGCAACAGUUGUAGCAAUCCUAUUAGGUAUAGGAUUAUUCUCAGCUACAUUUCCUUGUCAUAGCUGCUCCUAAGUCGGAUGAAUAGAUUUUUCAUCCCUACUAUCUUCUCUAUUAGGAGCAACAUGUGGUUGAGGUGGCAUAUCUUGGAGCUUACUAGUCUUACCACCAUGACCUAUGACCAUCCAACAAAUAUGUAUGACAUACUAAGAACAAAGUCAAAAUAGAUGCAAGUCUGUUGACUCUAUGACCACGACCAUGCUCUGAUACCAAUUGACAUGAUUCGUUCCAAAUUACCCUAGUAGACCCAACACAUGACGUGCGAUGAUGGUAGAUACCAGCUAAGUACCAAGGCAACGUUGACCUGCUUUGACUGUGACAUAUAUUUAUAAAAAAAUUUAAAAAGUUUUCAUUGUAAUAUGGACUAAAACUGCUCGAACAAUAUUCAACUUUCUCAAACCUAUACAUGUACAUAAAAGUAGGGUUCACCAUUCCCUCUAUACACAAACUAGUCAAAAUAAAGUGUACUGGAAUGAUAUUUACACUUCUUUACAAGCUAAAACACUCCAAAUGCACAACAUAUACAAAAGAUACAGCGAGCCCUUGAUAAGGGUACACAAAUUUACAAAUCAACAUUUUUUUACAAAAGAUGCAUGUACCCUAAAAGAAAAUGUACUAUAUAAACUAACAAAGUAAGUCGUACAACUAAUGACAAUAUGUGUGGCUCAUUUUGAUGGAUCGAUAGCUCCAACGCUACUCAACUUGGCUAUUAUCUAAUAAGAAAAAUGUGACAAAAUAUAUAAGUUUGUAACUCAUUGAGUGGAUAUUUUGCAAAUAAGUAUAGUUUUUCCAUUUUUACAAAUGUUGUGAAAACGCUUAUGAUAUUACCACUUUAAAAAUAAUAUGAAAGCUAAUAAUAUUUUUAAAACUAAAGUAUAAUGGAAUCAUAAAAUUCUUUACUUUUAUUCUGAAUAAACCACUGUAAGGUAUAACGGAGAUACUAAAUCUGACGUCCAUACUAUGAGUAAAAACGUUAUUUCACAGUACUAUAAGUUGAAAUAUUUAUUCUGUAAACUAAAUAAAUUUAAUUCUGUAGUCCAAAAUCUGAUAAGCUAUAUAGUACUAAAAAAUCACACAAAUAAGGUACUUGAAGUAACCAUACUCGUAUUGAUGAAUAUCGAUGUACAUGACAAAGCUAUUCAAUUCUGUAAUUCUUGUCAUACGCUUAUUCUGUAAUCCCGGUAGAAAGAAGUUUCCUUAAGGAAAAUGCUUUUAACGCUGUCCAGUAUCCUUUCCUUGUCCAAAUAUUUUUAUGAAUACGCUUUUUUGAUGCAGAAGUACCUUUUUUUGGAACUGCCAUUUAAAUACAAAUUAAGAGAUUACUCAUUGUUAUAGCUGUAUGUGAAAGACAUCUAUUAUUCAAAAUGAAUGUGUAGUUUCCUAUUCAUUAGGAAUUUCUUUUCUAGAAAAUAUUGUUAUAAAAUAAAAAGAAAAAAAAAUAGAUANN
Molecule: long non-coding RNA, 2761 nt
Filed under: Olea europaea subsp. europaea
Lineage: Eukaryota; Viridiplantae; Streptophyta; Magnoliopsida; Lamiales; Oleaceae
Source: RNAcentral